RNAcentral lists this ribosomal RNA (301 nucleotides) under uncultured bacterium. Its description in RNAcentral is "partial 16S ribosomal RNA". It matches the Rfam family "Bacterial small subunit ribosomal RNA", at positions 509 to 807 of the family's 1533-position model. The record is from RNAcentral.
CAGUAGCCGCGGGAAUACGGAGGGUGCAAGCGUUAAUCGGAAUUACUGGGCGUAAAGCGCACGCAGGCGGUCUGUCAAGUCGGAUGUGAAAUCCCCGGGCUCAACCUGGGAACUGCAUCCGAAACUGGCAGGCUAGAGUCUUGUAGAGGGGGGUAGAAUUCCAGGUGUAGCGGUGAAAUGCGUAGAGAUCUGGAGGAAUACCGGUGGCGAAGGCGGCCCCCUGGACAAAGACUGACGCUCAGGUGCGAAAGCGUGGGGAGCAAACAGGAUUAGAUACCCGGGUAGUCCCUGUCUCUUAUAC